UUGACGGGACCGCACAAGCGGUGGAUGAUGUGGUUUAAUUCGAUGCAACGACGAAAACCUUACCCACCUUUGACAUGGCAGGAAUCCUGAAGAGAUUUGGGAGUGCUCGAAAGAGAACCUGCACACAGGUGCUGCAUGGCUGUCGUCAGCUCGUGUCGUGAGAUGUUGGGUUAAGUCCCGCAACGAGCGCAACCCUUGCCAUUAGUUGCUACGAAAGGGCACUCUAAUGGGACUGCCGGUAACAAACCGGAGGAAGGUGGGGAUGACGUCAAGUCCUCAUGGCCCUUAUAGGUGGGGCUACACACGUCAUACAAUGGCCGGUACAGAGGGUAGCCAACCCGCGAGGGGGAGCCAAUCCCACAAAGCCGGUCGUAGUCCGGAUCGCAGUCUGCAACUCGACUGCGUGAAGUCGGAAUCGCUAGUAAUCGCGGAUCAGCAUGUCGCGGUGAAUACGUUCCCGGGUCUU
This 466-nucleotide ribosomal RNA is filed under the name uncultured Allobrachymonas sp. Its description in RNAcentral is "bacterial SSU rRNA". It matches the Rfam family "Bacterial small subunit ribosomal RNA", at positions 910 to 1382 of the family's 1533-position model. Lineage: Bacteria; Pseudomonadati; Pseudomonadota; Betaproteobacteria; Burkholderiales; Comamonadaceae. The record is from RNAcentral.